This 420-nucleotide ribosomal RNA is filed under the name uncultured Sphingomonas sp. Its description in RNAcentral is "bacterial SSU rRNA". It matches the Rfam family "Bacterial small subunit ribosomal RNA", at positions 348 to 785 of the family's 1533-position model. Lineage: Bacteria; Pseudomonadati; Pseudomonadota; Alphaproteobacteria; Sphingomonadales; Sphingomonadaceae. The record is from RNAcentral.
GCAGCAGUGGGGAAUAUUGGACAAUGGGCGAAAGCCUGAUCCAGCAAUGCCGCGUGAGUGAUGAAGGCCUUAGGGUUGUAAAGCUCUUUUACCCGGGAUGAUAAUGACAGUACCGGGAGAAUAAGCCCCGGCUAACUCCGUGCCAGCAGCCGCGGUAAUACGGAGGGGGCUAGCGUUGUUCGGAAUUACUGGGCGUAAAGCGCACGUAGGCGGCUUUGUAAGUUAGAGGUGAAAGCCCGGAGCUCAACUCCGGAAUUGCCUUUAAGACUGCAUCGCUAGAAUUGUGGAGAGGUGAGUGGAAUUCCGAGUGUAGAGGUGAAAUUCGUAGAUAUUCGGAAGAACACCAGUGGCGAAGGCGACUCACUGGACACAUAUUGACGCUGAGGUGCGAAAGCGUGGGGAGCAAACAGGAUUAGAUAC